UUUGGACUCUGCAAGGCCUCGUCCACAGCUCUCUGGUAGAAACGUGCUGAUUUACUCUGGAACAUUUCAAACCAACGAGAUGUUGUUAGUUGUUGUUCUUCCAGCAGGUUGACUCCAGAGUUGAUGAAGGUCUGAUGGACAUGAAGAGCAGCCAGAAACUCAUGAACACUCAGAUG
This is a long non-coding RNA of Acanthochromis polyacanthus (spiny chromis), 176 nucleotides long. RefSeq lists it as uncharacterized. The transcript is spliced from 2 exons. Lineage: Eukaryota; Metazoa; Chordata; Actinopteri; Pomacentridae. The record is from RefSeq and is a predicted model, not a curated record.